This is a long non-coding RNA of Halichondria panicea, 892 nucleotides long. RefSeq lists it as uncharacterized. The record is from RefSeq and is a predicted model, not a curated record. The transcript is spliced from 2 exons. NCBI's taxonomy places the organism in Eukaryota, Metazoa, Porifera, Demospongiae, Suberitida, Halichondriidae.
GAGUUUUCGCUUUUAUAACGGUUAGGCAAACAUGGUACUAGUUGUCUGCGCAUGCGUCAGUCGUUCGUCAGAUUCUGACCAAUGGAUAUUCUCGUUCACUUUCGUGACAUUUAUAUUCGUGUACUAUCGUGUACUAGAAGUCAGUUCCCGUUUUAUCAUUAUUGGAAUCGAUUGGAAUGGCUCUUAGCUGAAGCUUCUCUCUUCUCUGAAGCUUAUUCUGAAGACUGAACAACAAGGGAAGAGGUAUAAAGCUUUGUCAAGCUUGUUAAGGUCAGAUAUUUUUGUGUGGGCCCUAUGGCCGGCUAUGCUAUCAAGUCUUGUUCAUGUUUGGCAAGAAUGUAGGUAGACUAUAGUUUCAUCAUUAAUAUGGUGGAUCAAGUGAAGAGUGUGAGCUAGAGAACUUGGUGCUGCCAUCAUCAGCUCGUCGACAAUGACACUAUAACCGAGAAAUUUAAUAUGUAUAGAUCUACACGUAUUUAAAAUGUCUACUUCUCUGUACAGGAGCAAUGGCUAAUAUCCAGCUAUCCCAACAGUGCUCCUCUUGGCUAUACUAACGGACGAGACUGGACAGUUUGAGACACAGGACUGGAGUAUGACCUGCUCAUUCGAGCGUUGCUGGGUAGCUCAGAGACAUCAAGAGAAUCUACGUUUUCUCAAGCAAUGAGUUACGAGUUGGGGCCUAGAAUCAGAGAAGUCCAGCAGGCUGCUAAAUCUUUUUGAAACGUAAUUUGAAGGCAUUCAAUCAUCCUGAAGUUGCCCUGGGUCACUGUAAUUGUGCUGCAGCACAACUGGCAACUCCCCAGGCCUUUGUGAAGCAGCUCCCUAUGUGCAUCUUUUGUGUACUCACUCUGUGCAUUUUCUGUGUACAAAUUUCUAUUAUUGAUUUAUUAAA